CUGCCAUUACGGACUGCCAUUACAAUAUAAAAAGCCCAUAAACUUUAGUGUCACAUGACCAUUCAGAAAUCAUACUGAUUUGCUGCUCAAGAAACAUUUCUUAUUAUUAUCAAUAUUGAAAAACAGUUGUGUUUUUAUAACAUUAUAAAUGUCUUUACUGUCACUUUUGAUUGUUUAAUGGGUCCUCACAUUAAUUUCUAUCAAAAAAAAUAAUAAUAAUUUGUGUAUAGUAGUGUAUAAUGACUGAUAUUGGAUGUUUAAUUGUGCAGGCUCAUUUCUCCUAUUUUUACAUGGACACCGAGGAAAGUAAAGUUACAAGAAAGUGCAUACAUCCAUCAUAAAUGUACUCCACACGGCCUUCCGUAAAUUUUUUUUGUAAGUUGAAUAGUGAAGGCGUAGGACGUAGCAUAAGCGUUUUGAACUGCGAGAGGCGUUACACUUUCUUCGUAAAGUUGAAUACGGAAGGCGGUCUGGCAGAAGCUAGAUAUUUUACUUUAUAACUCGUUAAAUAUGGAUAUUUUUCUUACACGAAUGCACCGCUUCAGAAGGCCUUAAUAAACCCCCCCCAGAGCCGUGUGGAGUAUGUUUAUGAUGGAUGGAUGCACUUUCUUGAGCUUCAUACUCGUUGGUCCCGUUCACUGCCAUUAUAAAGCUUGGAUACAUCAGGAUAUUUAUUAAUAUAACUCCGAUUGUGUUCAUCAGAAAGAAGAAAGUCAUAUACACUGUGGGGGAAAUGUAGAGUUUCUGUAUAAUUUCCAUAUGAUUAUCCUUAUAUGCUUAUGAUUAAAUGAUUUUGUUUUUCUCAAAAUUGCUUAAAUAUGCAUUCUUUGGGUGACUUUGUGUGACAAGUGGAAAAACACUGAAGUGGUAAACAUGUUCCUAAUAUGGUAAAAGGACAGAGGCUUCAGCCUUGGAGUUUAGAGAUAUAAAAGUGAGGGGAAGCUUUCAUUCUUUGUCUUACACUCUGCAGCUACUUGUGUUUUUGUAUGACUGUCUGACCUUUCUUGCAAGAAAUAAAACUUUCAAAAGACAAUUGGACAUGUUUGUCUCUUAUGCAGUAAGAGUCAGUUGAUUUUUUGCCACAACAAUUUGGUGUCAGAAGAAGGGGAUUCCUUGGAUGUGCCUUUUGCACCCGAGAGUGGACGGUGACUGAUCAACCUGGACUUAGUAGUCUCAGCCCUACCCCGAAUAGAUUGAGGGAUGAGGGGCCGACCGCCAGGGUCCAGAAGGGGACACCACUGAAAUCAGUAAACGAACCCAGGUGGCAUCACGACUCUCUGGUCAUUAGACAUGGCAGAGGAUAAUUCCAAGGCAUGGUGGUGGCUAAAGAUGAAGACCACUUUUGCAGAUUGUAGAGAAAGUUAAGUGAAUUCAGCAUUUAACCUAAAGAUAACUUAAAAAUGCUCCUAGUCUAAGUUACAGUCUUGUGAGGUUUGAAAAGAUAAUUUGUGCAGUAAGAGAGAGAGAUGGCUGGGGUAAAGGUAAGGAUACUCUGUCUGUCUGCUAAAGCUUAAACAAAACGAAGCAAUGAGAUUAGAACCAAACAACUCAGCUGACUUUUAUAAAAAAAAAAAGAAUUAUAAUGAACAGAUAUGUUUUGAGACUGGAUAAGAGACCAUGUAAAAAAUAAGAGUAAAACCUAAAGAAAAAAUGUGAAGUUUAAAUAUGUGUUUUUUAGAUUUAACACCAAAAGCAAACCUUGAAAAUAAGCAUUUAAUAGUCAUGUGUGUCUAGUAUGAGUAUGAGUGAGUGUGAGGGUGACUGUACUUUAUGUUUUGUAUGUGUUAGUUUGGGGAAAUAUUCUGUCCUCAGAGUGUGUAUACGUCAUUAACCUCUGGAAUGAGUGUUUUACCAUUACAGAUGGGUUAAGUGAAAUGACACAUUUUGACAAGCCAAUAAUUCUGAUUGAAUCUGAUGAAAAGACGAUAUGGAAUUUGAAGACGAGCUUUAAGUGGAUUGGUCAUCCAGCUCUGUCUACUAGUGGUAAUUAUGACUACAUUUGUCAUUUAUGAUGAUGAUUUGAAUUACUCUCUGGAUUAGUAUGUUUAAGUAUUUAUGGAAAAUUGGAAUUGUGAAAUUGAAGAUUGCCGUCCAUGGGUUAAAAUCCCUUGUCUAAAUUCAACUAAAUUUAAACACUGUCAGCUAUGUGUGGUCACAAUGCUAAACGUAAAAUGUUGUAGACUUGACGGCAGAGAAACAGCGACACACUGGCAAUCAAAAAUUAUCCAGAGAGCCCAGUAACAUUCACAGUAUGAAGGACUGGUUGGAGAACAAAGGAGGAUGGGAAGGAACAUCACUGUUGUUUGACUAUCCUUGAUCAAGUACACCAUGACUUGACCUGCUAGACAAACCACUUGAUGGACGUGUUGUUUGUAGAUGGCUCUGCCUUCAGAGACAAAACAACAGGCCUGAAUUGCGAAGGAUAAGUUGUGACCAUGGAAUGUGAAGUGUUAGUUUCAGGGCCGCUGUCCUGUAAUUAUUUGGUAUGAGCAGAUGAGCUUGUGACCCUCACUGGAGCGGGUAAACUGAUGACAGACAAAAUUGUGACUAUCUACACAGACGCCCGUUAUUGGUUCGGGGUGGUAGACGAUCUUUGAGGUGCUGUGGUCUGAAUUCCUGUUUGUGCUGACAAAACUAAUGAAAAAAGUUUUUGUUUCUGUAGGAAGUGCUGGAGCAGACACAGGAGAUUGUGUGUAAUCUGUUAUCUGAAAAUAACUUUGAUUUUUCUAACUCUUUACAGAGCAUGUUCAGAGGCAGAGAACCUGGAGGAAAUCUGGUUGCAGAAUUAAAGACGGCGUUUAGUUUAGUGUUGAUGGCAAUACAUCAAAAUGGGGGAUGGUAACUCAAUUAAUGUAUGGCUGAAAAUAUGGCUGAAAUUUUUUUAAAUUAGGUUAGAAGACCCCAUUUUUGGGAAUGGAAGGGGAUAAACAAUGAGUGAAAUCAACUGAAUUGUGUGAACAUGGCAUGUUGAACUAUUGCAAAGAAAUGUCUUCUUUCCUCUCUAACGUUUGUGUACAGAAUUGCUAAAGUAUGCAUUCUUUGGGUGACAAGUGGAAAAACACUGAAGUGGUAAACAUGUUCCUAAUAUGGUAAAAGGACAGAGGCUUCAGCCUUGGAGGUUAGAGAUAGAGGUCUGCAUUCCUGCGGCUCUCCCGCGGGAACUGUGGGGCCCGAUAAGAUUUCUUGCUGCGCGGGAAUGAAAGACGGAUUGCGGUCGGUAACUUUAGUGUUCUUUAGGUGGGAGCGGGCGGUCUGACAAUAACCCAGUCGCUCCCGAGAUGCUUUGACAUCAGUGCAUCUGUGCUUGAACUUAAAGUGAACAAAAGUUUCUGCAGUGGUGGCGUUCACACAGUCCCCAGUUCCCUGUCCUGAGAAACCUGGCAAGAUAUGUUAUUUGCAUUAGAGAUCUGCGCGAGUGCACCUUCAGAGAACAUUGAACCUUUGUGAUCGGAUUUUGGAGGAGAGAGGUUCUGAAAUGGACAUCAGUCAGCGUCAUUCUGUUCUUGCGUGGGUGUUAAAAAAGACUUCAUUUUGCAGUAUAGCUAGUAAGCCAACAGUUUUCGUUUAUGUAAUUUUGGCAUAGCCUACAGUUUUGAGGGACAUGUUGUAGGCUAUUUAAUUUACCCUAUUUUUCUCUGUGAUAUUUAGCCUAUUAUUCUUUGUGACAUUUUUUAGGGUGUUGACAGCAUCAUAGACAAAUAACAAAUACAAAUCUUGUAUAUGCAACAUUUUAUAUUUGUUAUCCCCAAUCACUCUCUUUCUUUAGGGGAAGUUUAAAUGCGAGAUUCUGGAAACGAUCUUUAGCGGGACCCGUCGGGUCGGGAAGAAAAUCACUAUAUGCGGAUAGCGGGUGAACACAGAGUGAAUUUUAGGCGGGAGCGGGUGCGUGCAGAAUAGAACCAUUGCGGGAGCGGGACGAAAAAAACAGUCCCGCGCAGACCUCUAGUUAAAGUGAGGGGAAGCUUUUGUUCUUUGUCUUACACUCUGCAGCUACUUGUGUUUCUGUAUAACUGUCUGACCUUUCUUGCAAGAAAUAAAACUUUUGAAAGACAA
Long non-coding RNA from Ctenopharyngodon idella (grass carp), 4053 nucleotides. RefSeq lists it as uncharacterized. The record is from RefSeq and is a predicted model, not a curated record. NCBI's taxonomy places the organism in Eukaryota, Metazoa, Chordata, Actinopteri, Cypriniformes, Xenocyprididae. The transcript is spliced from 2 exons.